RNAcentral lists this small RNA (135 nucleotides) under Oryza sativa Japonica Group (Japanese rice). RNAcentral's name for it is "sRNA Os12g0620866". The record is from RNAcentral. Lineage: Eukaryota; Viridiplantae; Streptophyta; Magnoliopsida; Poales; Poaceae.
GCUGGCGGCGAGGCCGACGAGGUCAUGCUCCAUGUACUCGAAGACGAGGUAGAGGCUGCAGGACAUGCGGGAGGUGACGAGGCCCUCGAGCUUGAUGACGUUGGGGUGGUGGAGGCGGCGGAGGAUGAGGAUCUC